CUAAAUUAAUAAUUUUAGUAAAAAAAGGACUUUAUUAAUAUAACAUCAAUUGUUUAAAAAUGUUUUUAGAAUAUUCUAAAAUUUGAAUAUCAAUUUAGAAUGAGAGUUAUAAUUUUGAGAUGUUUUGUGCAAUUUACUCGUGUAUUUACAUACAGCGCUCCUUUAUGCGACACGUGUUUGGUGACGUGGUUGUUUACCUUGGCUGGCGCUUCAUUUCUUCUUCUUCUUGUUCACCCCAGCCAUAGCUAAAGCAAAUUAAAAAAAAAAAAAUUAAAAAAAAUCCUCUCAGCUUUUGUUCAGUUUUUGAGUAAAGAUUAAUGCAGUCUUUUUGACUAUUUUGUUGAAUUAUUCUUUCGCAGAGUGAAAGAUUUUCGGAUUUUUCAUAUUUUCAAG
This 393-nucleotide long non-coding RNA is filed under the name Gossypium raimondii (Peruvian cotton). Its description in RNAcentral is "long non-coding RNA (GRAI_LNC006539)". Lineage: Eukaryota; Viridiplantae; Streptophyta; Magnoliopsida; Malvales; Malvaceae. The record is from RNAcentral.